UGCGGCGGAGGCACACCGGCUCUGCGGAAGGAUACGCGCACGCAAUAACAACAGCGCAGCGCAGCUGCUGCAAACCGGCUGGCGGAGGAAUACGACACAGCUGCACGGUCUGCAUGUGGAUCUAAUGGUGGAUCAGCACCGAGAGAUGAUGUCUACAGCCCUGACCGCGAUUGGAGACCAGAACCACUAGAUGAGAAAAUAAAAGCACUGCCACCUGUUCUGAGAGUCACUGAGGGAUAAAGAACAAACUUCAGCGACUGAGCGAUAUCCGCUGAGAUGAAUCUGCUUUCCUGGCUUCUGCAUUUCUAAAUAAGUCUGGCUGGGAUUUCGUGUUUCAUUGUAUGCGUUUUCACAUCGCCUUUCUCUCUAAAUCCUGACUGGUUGAUGACGGGAUGCCUGCACGCUAGCGGUCGAACUGCCUUUCGGGCAUUACCUUCAGCAAGCGUGAAAACAACACUAAAGACUUUUUAGGCUAUUUGGAAAUCCCGGACCGGACUGCGGCCUUCAGAUGAACUCUUACUGGACUGAAGGAGCUCAGCUUUAUUUGAUUCUGGAUCAGUCGUUAAAUCAGCGCUCUCAUCUCGAAUCUGAUCAUCAGCAUCUUUUGAGUUCCAGAAGCUUGACUUUUGCUUCACAAGCCUCCAAAACAUCUCACAUCUUCUGAGGAGCCUUGAUUUCUUCAUUUCUCAAUCAGCAUUGCAUGUUUAGCUCAUGUUUGCUGGAGAUAUAGCGACCCCUGAUAUUUAUAUAAUUUUAUGUCAGUAUGUGCCGUAUAAUGUAUUGCUCAG
This is a long non-coding RNA of Puntigrus tetrazona (Sumatra barb), 788 nucleotides long. RefSeq lists it as uncharacterized. The record is from RefSeq and is a predicted model, not a curated record. NCBI's taxonomy places the organism in Eukaryota, Metazoa, Chordata, Actinopteri, Cypriniformes, Cyprinidae. The transcript is spliced from 3 exons.